CAGCCGCCGCGGUAAUACGUAGGUGGCAAGCGUUGUCCGGAAUUAUUGGGCGUAAAGGGCUCGCGGGCGGUUUCUUAAGUCUGAUGUAAAAGCCCCCGGCUCAACCGGGGAGGGUCAUUGGAAACUGGGAAACUUGAGUGCAGAAGAGGAGAGUGGAAUUCCACGUGUAGCGGUGAAAUGCGUAGAGAUGUGGAGGAACACCAGUGGCGAAGGCGACUCUCUGGUCUGUAACUGACGCUGAGGAGCGAAAGCGUGGGGAGCGAACAGGAUUAGAUACCCCAGUAGUCCCUGUCUCUUAUAC
RNAcentral lists this ribosomal RNA (301 nucleotides) under uncultured bacterium. Its description in RNAcentral is "partial 16S ribosomal RNA". It matches the Rfam family "Bacterial small subunit ribosomal RNA", at positions 509 to 807 of the family's 1533-position model. The record is from RNAcentral.